Melitaea cinxia (Glanville fritillary) is the source of this 513-nucleotide long non-coding RNA. RefSeq lists it as uncharacterized. NCBI's taxonomy places the organism in Eukaryota, Metazoa, Arthropoda, Insecta, Lepidoptera, Nymphalidae. The transcript is spliced from 2 exons. The record is from RefSeq and is a predicted model, not a curated record.
AAGAGUCCACGACGCCGCUGCCGUCCCCAGCGCGAGCUAUGCGCGUUACACAACACUAUUCCUUAAGUCAUAAGCCACCGUUUGCGAGCGUUUCAUAUUUAUCUUUGACAAAAAUAAUUUUGUCGUUAUCAGAUAUUGGAUUGACAUAUCUUGAAGUCAAUCUAGCGUUUUUAAGUUUUUCAAACAGAUCGAAGAUUACAGAACGCGGUUUGCUUGCAUUAUUAUAGGCAGAUUCCAUGCGGGUUUCAAAGGAGAGGCCCGUGAGCCAGCGACGCGUAGCCAUCUGUCACACGUCACAGCUGCUCCUCCCCGCGAAUCCUGCGCGCCUGGUACUUCUAAUUAUAGUCCACGCUAAUUAAUUAGGAGAUACCCUCGCCAACACUUUUGUUUCAUUGCACGAAGAGCAUUGAAAAAUUGUCGAUUAAGCUCGACGGAGUUUUUUGUAACGUGGCAAUUCAUUUCUGUUAUUAAUACAUUACUACCCCUUUUCAUUAAAAAUAAUGACAUCCAGAA